RNAcentral lists this ribosomal RNA (1332 nucleotides) under Triticum aestivum (bread wheat). RNAcentral describes it as "partial small subunit ribosomal RNA". Lineage: Eukaryota; Viridiplantae; Streptophyta; Magnoliopsida; Poales; Poaceae. The record is from RNAcentral.
AUGGCGGCCGCUGCCUCCUCCCUGCUUGCCGCCGCUGCAUCCUCCAGUUCCCGAGCAGCCAUCUCCGCCCGCCGCCCCCGCGCAGCUUCUGCCGCGGCCGCGGCCGCCGCCUCCAUCCCCUCCUCCUCUCGCUCAUCCUUCACUCCGCUCCGCGCCUCCCCCGCGACGGCUCACCGGAGCCGCGUCGUCGCCAGCGCCGCUCCCGCGAUGCAGCCGCCGGCGGUGUCCAGGGUCUCCACGGUGGUCGACGUCGACCUCGGCGACCGGAGCUACCCGAUCUACAUCGGGCCCGGACUCCUCGACGAGCCCGACCUGCUGCAGAGGCAUGUGAUCGGGAAGAGGGUUCUGGUGGUGACCAACACCACCGUCGCGCCGCUCUACUUGGAGAAGGUGACCUGGGCGCUCACGCACCAAAACCCUAACGUGUCGGUCGAGAGCGUGAUCCUGCCCGACGGCGAGAAGUACAAGGACAUGGACACACUGAUGAAGGUUUUCGACAAGGCGGUGGAGUCCCGGCUGGACCGGAGAUGCACAUUCGUUGCGCUAGGUGGCGGCGUCAUUGGGGACAUGUGCGGGUUUGCUGCUGCUGCAUUCCUCCGUGGUGUCAAUUUCAUACAGAUACCCACCACUCUGAUGGCCCAGGUGGAUUCGUCUGUUGGAGGGAAGACUGGGAUUAACCAUCCAUUGGGAAAGAACUUAAUUGGCGCAUUCUACCAGCCGCAGUGCGUACUCAUUGACACAGAGACAUUGAAUACAUUGCCUGACAGAGAGCUAGCUUCAGGUGUCGCUGAGGUGGUGAAGUAUGGGCUCAUAAGAGACGCACCCUUCUUUGAGUGGCAAGAGAAGAAUAUGGCAGCAAUAUUAGCGAGAGAACCAAGUGCCCUGACCUACGCUAUAAAGAGAUCAUGUGAAAACAAAGCUGAAGUUGUUGCUCAGGAUGAGAAGGAAAGUGGUCUUCGAGCAACACUAAACCUGGGUCAUACAUUUGGUCAUGCUAUAGAAACAGGGCUUGGCUAUGGAGAAUGGCUCCAUGGGGAAGCCGUUGCUGCUGGAACGGUUAUGGCAGCUGACAUGUCUUACCGCCUGGGCUGGAUAGACGAGUCCAUCAAGAAACGGACAUUUGACAUACUAGAUCAAGCCAAGCUUCCCGUGACACCACCAAAGGGCAUGACGGUGGAGAAGUUCAAAAACAUCAUGGCUGUCGACAAGAAGGUCGCGGACGGAUUGCUGAGGCUCAUCCUUCUGAAAGGACCUCUGGGAGGCUGCGUUUUCACCGGUGAGUACGACAGGAAAGCACUGGACGAAACCCUCCGUGCGUUCUGCGACAACUGA